UGGCAUUGGCGCUCUAUAAUGCAGUCGACGGAGGUAUGUAGCAAUACGUAUCUUAGUGGCGAACGGGUGAGUAACGCGUUGGUGACCUACCCCAGAGAGGGGGAUAACAGCUCGAAAGGGCUGCUAAUACCCCAUGCCGUCAUGGCGCUUAGAAAGCCAUGUCGAAAGGUGCAAACCGCUCUGGGAGGGGCCUGCGUCCCAUCAGCUAGUUGGUAGGGUAAUGGCCUACCAAGGCGACGACGGGUAGGGGACCUGAGAGGGUGACCCCCCACACUGGCACUGAAACACGGGCCAGACACCUACGGGUGGCAGCAGUAGGGAAUAUUGCACAAUGGGCGAAAGCCUGAUGCAGCAACGCCGCGUGCGCGAUGAAGGCCUUCGGGUCGUAAAGCGCUUUUCGGGGAGAUGAGGAAGGACAGUAUCCCCGGAAUAAGGAUCGGCUAACUACGUGCCAGCAGCCGCGGUAAAACGUAGGAUCCGAGCGUUAUCCGAAUUCACUGGGCGUAAAGCGCGUGCAGGCGGUUCGGUAAGUUGGAUGUGAAAUCUCCUGGCUCAACUGGGAGAGGACGUUCAAUACUGUCGGACUCGAGGAUGGUAGAGGGAGGUGGAAUUCCCGGUGUAGUGGUGAAAUGCGUAGAUAUCGGGAGGAACACCAGUGGCGAAGGCGGCCUCCUGGACCAUUCCUGACGCUCAGACGCGAAAGCUAGGGGAGCAAACGGGAUUAGAAACCCCGGUAGUCCUAGCCGUAAACUAUGUAGACUUGGUGUCGGUGGUGUAAAAACCAUCGGUGCCGUAGCUAACGCGUUAAGUCUACCGCCUGGGGACUACGGCCGCAAGGUUAAAACUCAAAGGAAUUGACGG
This 861-nucleotide ribosomal RNA is filed under the name uncultured Chloroflexota bacterium. RNAcentral describes it as "bacterial SSU rRNA". It matches the Rfam family "Bacterial small subunit ribosomal RNA", at positions 37 to 916 of the family's 1533-position model. Lineage: Bacteria; Bacillati; Chloroflexota. The record is from RNAcentral.